CCCUGGUUAGCUCAGUUGGUAGAGCGCUCCACCUGUAAUGGAGACGUUCCGGGUUCGAUACCCGGACCAGGCG
Ixodes scapularis (black-legged tick) is the source of this 73-nucleotide non-coding RNA. NCBI's taxonomy places the organism in Eukaryota, Metazoa, Arthropoda, Arachnida, Ixodida, Ixodidae. The record is from Rfam.